AUCUGUCAGAGCACUGAGGUCAAUACUGGAGACUAAAUACUAUGACUGAUUACAGAUUGACUACAGCUGAUGAAUCAUACAUAAAACCAGAACUAAGGCAGACAGGACAACAAAACAGGAAAUACCAAAAUAAAACAGGAAAUGGCAAACGAACGUCCAGGUUGUGACACUGGAAUGUCAGCGUGAGGCCCUGCGGCCGCUGCCUUCACUCUGAGGUCGGAUCUGAGUGACCUAAUCACUUGUUUGACAAAGAAGCAGAGCAGCACAGACCCCCUGUGGAGAGGACGGAUGCACCUGGUGGAGGCAGAUCUGAACCAUGCAGUGCUUAGACACACAAGGCCUUCAGCAGCGCUGUUCAGCUCCCACGUGACGUCAUCAGUUGGAAUCAAGUUACAGAUGUUGGCCUCUGCAUCUGUUUGGAUUUUUGUCAACGUGAAACAUUUACUGAUUGUUUGGGCUAUAACUAGUCAGGAGAACAGCUAUGGUCAUGAACAGCUUGCUCUAUGUCCCCCACUGUAAACCAAAGCUGUUUGAUCAGAGAAUUAGACCAGAAGAUGAUGAAAACACUGACACAGCUACUGACUCACAGUAACAGAGGAAUCUUGUGAUAUGAAUUAGGAUUAUGUUUAACUGCUUUUUCGGUUUUGCAGAAAGUCUUUUAAUUUACCAUCCAUCUAAUUUAAUGCCAUUAUUAUUUUACAAAUAGGUCAAUUUAGACCAGUUUAGUUUGUGGGAAUGUUUCUAAGCAAUCACGUAAAAAGCAGUGUUUGACCAUUAGGGCAGAAAAACUUCUCCACAAUGAGCUGCAUUUGUGUAAGCUUUUGAAAAUGUACUUAUUAUAUAAAUACAACAGUUUACGUUCAACCUGAACAGAACUGUCAGCGGGGGAAAAUGUGUUGAAUCCAGCUGUUUGUGUGUUUUCCAGAAAAUGAGCCCUGAGUGCAGCAAUAAUAUCACUUUAAUAGUAUUUAUUUAACUUACUGAUAGAUGUGUAUACAACUUAAUACUGGUAAAAGUUGGUUAAAAUAAAUAAUAUAAUUGGGCUAUAUAUAUAUUUUAC
RNAcentral lists this long non-coding RNA (1060 nucleotides) under Betta splendens (Siamese fighting fish). RNAcentral's name for it is "lncRNA (ENSBSLG00000017337.1)". Lineage: Eukaryota; Metazoa; Chordata; Actinopteri; Anabantiformes; Osphronemidae. The record is from RNAcentral.